CUCAACCAAGAUUAUUGAUAACCUUAAAAUGAGAAAGAAUUACAAUUAGUACACACAAACUAACACUAAGAGGAAAUAUCACAAUUGUACCAAUUUCCCUAACCCCCUGCACACAGUGGAGUAUUUUGGUUAUAAACAUCAGGUGAUACUACCUUUCUAAAAUUCAUAUACUAGAUGGUAGAGUACCUAGUGCACAGUUUAAGUGUAUAGCACAUUACUUUGGGCACAACUUUGGUAUGUACUCUCCUAUGUGCUGUGCGCAGACCAACUAAUCAAUAAUGAGUUUCUUUGUCAAUGAUUUUCAUAAUUGAUUAUUAUCGAUUUUCUAGAUUUGUUGUAGCUUUAAUUUAAUUCAUAAGCAUGGAUAUAGUUUCUACUUGUUUGUCAUUUCUUUAAAAUGGCUCAGCCACUAGGGAGUGGAUGAAUUGUUGUCAGGUUUGCACAUCACUCUGUGAGUGUGUGUGUGUGUGUGUGUGUGUGUGUGUGUGUGUGUGUGUGUGUGUGUCCGUCCGAGUUUCUCAUUAGCACGAUAUCUCGUGAAUGAGGGGUUGUGUUUGUAGGAUUUAUAUGGAAAUGCAUUGUAACCAGCAGAUUACAUUUUGGGGAAGCACUAGACAGUCUGUACAAAAUUUUGUAUAGUUUUUUGUGAUUGUUGCAGCAAAAAAAGCUUGAUUUUGCUGUGGCUUUUUUCAAACUGCGCAAUGCAACUUGCAGAGAUUUUGCUGCUUUUUUUGAAAAAAAACUGCUUGAAUUGGCAACAUUGCAAUUGCACAAAACUGUCUUACACGGUCUUUCACGGUGAUGUUUGUGGGUAAAUGAGACCUUUUAGCUGUACUCAUGUUCGAUGCACAUGAAUUGUGAAGGGGUUUUCUGAAUGCACAUUGUGAUGACGUCACAUGAUGCAUCUUGGCCCAAAUCUGUGGUAAUCUUGUAAAAUUGCAAGCUCCUGCAAAUACUGUGGCGGUUCCUUGAUUUUUGUGUUCAUUUCUGUGAUCGCAAAAGCUCAAAAUCCUAAUUUUUUAUUUUUUUUUUCCAGCAUUGGGAAUUCCCAGGAAAAUAAGCACUUUCAGAGUAGUCAAAAAGCAAGAUUUUUACGUUCUACACAAAUAGCAUGUUUUCUACUACAGUGAUGUUAAACACUUUGUGCUUAGUAAAUAUUUAAUUAGGAAUCCUAUAAUCAUCAUGGUUCCUAAAUUCCAUUUUACUUCACUUAUCUCUACUACUCGUCUCUUCACUUCAUGGGGGUGAGCAUAGCAGACGAUUGAGCAGCUAAAUGUUGAGUUGGGACACUCUGAAAACAUAUACUUUUUUAUUAAGGGUUAUGAAAAUUGUAACCUAUCAUUUUGACUGUUUUCAGCAUGCGUAUAAAAAUGUAUGUUUAUACAUCACAAUUUUAAUUUAAUGUGUAUAUAAAAUAUUUUUAAACAAUGUUAAAUUCAUAUUCAAAUACUUUUCUUAGCUUUGAAAUUUCAUAACCUUUCACCUUUCUCCCUUAAAAUACAUACCAGACAAGGUCUACAUUACAUUACAAUUAUAAUAAUGACAACUGUUUCAUCAGUGUAAAAGAGCCGUAAGAAUGUUAGAAAGUUUGUAGUGUCAACAAAUUUUAGCUUUGUAUGUGUCCCUACAUCCGUAUAUAGGGGAUGCACCUUUAUUAAAGUACUUUUACAGCAACAGGACGCACCUAAGAUGAUUAUACGUCACCCAUGCGAACCAUCAAAAGGACUUCACCAGCCUUUGUUUGCACCCCUUGGUUCAAUGGGCAACUGGGAUGAACCGUAAAAGAGGGAAGCUAUAUCUGUGCAAGUUUACUCUCACAUUUGAUGGGAGUGAAUCUACAGACGGAUCAGCAUGGAAACUACAUGCAUGCAUGAAGACAAAAGACAACCAACAAGGACAACCCCUUCAAAGGCCACAUCGGCACUCAUUCACACGAGCCGCAUCCUUAUGUUCAUGACGAACUAAAAGUCUUCAAGUAAGACUCAGCAGGAAAAGAUAGUGUCCACUGUUAUUUCUUUAAAAGUUGAAUAAUUUGAAGCUGCAAACUGUUAGUUAAAAUCAGCAUUCUUUUAAACAAUGGGACCUUUGCACCUUUUGCAUGUGAUGUAACUGUAUGCGUACUAACACAGUCACUCAGUCAGUGAUUUCCGUUUAUGUUGUGGAAAAACAAAAUCCCUAUGGUUAUUCCCAUUAACGUUACUGUACUUGGAACUUAAUGUCAUUGGAAAUAUCUUUUAUCGUUUCUAUCGCUAGCCAUUCACCCUGUGCAAGUCUUUUUAAAGUCCCUGCCAUAUUUGUAUUCAAUUUUCUCCUUAUUUCACAUACCAGGAGAUAGGGCCACAUAUUUCUAGUGGUUAUCAUUUUAAUUUUUUUAAUAUUUUAUAAGCUCAGUGUGAAUGCGCACAUGGAUACUCAAGCUCUAGAGCAGACUGUGCGCAUCUGUGUGUGGACGCACGCUCUGCCUUAGAGCUUGUUGAGUGACUGUGUGUGCACUCCUUCCCACACAUGCACGCAUUCCUGUCCUCUCUCUCACACACAUGCAGCUCCUCUUUGUCUGUUCCUAUUUAGAAUUCGUUUCAUAGUUAAUUAUUUAUUCUUUUCUAUUUCAAUAAAUGCUAUAUUAUUGAA
This is a long non-coding RNA of Ictalurus punctatus (channel catfish), 2628 nucleotides long. RefSeq lists it as uncharacterized. Lineage: Eukaryota; Metazoa; Chordata; Actinopteri; Siluriformes; Ictaluridae. The record is from RefSeq and is a predicted model, not a curated record. The transcript has 2 exons.